AGCAGCCGCGGUAAUUCCAGCUCCAAUAGCGUAUAUUAAAGUUGUUGCAGUUAAAAAGCUCGUAGUUGAAUUUCGGGAUCAAUAUACCGGUCAUGCCUUGGUAUGCACUGGUAUCUUUGAUUUCUCCCUUCUGACGAACUUUGAUGUCAUUAAUUUGGUGUCAUAGGGAAUCAGGACUGUUACUUUGAAAAAAUUAGAGUGUUUAAAGCAGGCUCACGCUUGAAUACAUUAGCAUGGAAUAAUGAAAUAGGACGUUUGAUUCUAUUUUGUUGGUUUCUAGGAUCGACGUAAUGAUUAAUAGGGAUAGUUGGGGGCAUUAGUAUUCAAUUGUCAGAGGUGAAAUUCUUGGAUUUUAUUGAAGACUAACUACUGCGAAAGCAUUUGCCAAGGAUGUUUUCAUUAAUCAAGAACGAAAGUUAGGGGAUCGAAGACGAUCAGAUACCGUCGUAGUCUUAACCAUAAACUAUGCCGACUAGGGAUCGGAUGAUGUUAAUUUUUAAUGACUC
RNAcentral lists this ribosomal RNA (506 nucleotides) under uncultured Glomus. RNAcentral's name for it is "SSU rRNA". It matches the Rfam family "Eukaryotic small subunit ribosomal RNA", at positions 569 to 1077 of the family's 1831-position model. Lineage: Eukaryota; Fungi; Glomeromycota; Glomeromycetes; Glomerales; Glomeraceae. The record is from RNAcentral.